RNAcentral lists this ribosomal RNA (169 nucleotides) under uncultured eukaryote. RNAcentral's name for it is "partial 18S ribosomal RNA". It matches the Rfam family "Eukaryotic small subunit ribosomal RNA", at positions 1299 to 1458 of the family's 1831-position model. The record is from RNAcentral.
UGGUGGAGUGAUUUGUCUGGUUAAUUCCGUUAACGAACGAGACCUUGGGGGUUUGUUGCGGUGGGCCGCGCGCCUCGGGCGCGCGGUGCGGGGCGCCGCGAGGCGCUCCCAAGGCCACCCUCCGAACACGACCGCCGGAGCGAUCCGGAGGAGGUGCGAGGCAAUAACA